Long non-coding RNA from Oreochromis aureus, 2265 nucleotides. NCBI's taxonomy places the organism in Eukaryota, Metazoa, Chordata, Actinopteri, Cichliformes, Cichlidae. The record is from Ensembl.
CUCUGCAUAUCUGAAAAAUCAGUUUUGAUAAUCUAUGUUAUUCAUUUUUUUUUAUUUUAAAUGCUGUCAUUAGUUUUUAUUUAUUUCCAACUUAUUAACAAAAUGAACUUGGUCUACAUUGUUUUGUUCACUUGAAUAAAACAACAUUUUUGUAUUGUACUCUGGGUUCUUGAAGACCACGCUGUCUUUUAACUUUAUUCUUUAUUUUCUGCAUAUACUGUUCUUUAUUCAUUUCUUUAUUCUUUGAGGCGGUUCUCCUGCCAUUCAGUGUUCCUAGUGCAAAGUCUGCAUUUCUGUGUCCUAUCUUUAGUUGGUUACUGCUUUAUAUUGUUGACCUCUAGGCUUUUGUGCACUUGCUUUUACUUCAACUGGUCAUACUUGUUUGAUUCAAUUCACCUGUGUCUUGUUUCUCCCAGCUGCGUCCUCUCUCCCUAAUCAACUUGCGCAAGUUCUUAAGCCUUCAGCUUUCCUCAGCUCUCUACUCUGUUGUUAUGUUUCAAGCUGUACACUUUGUUUGUCUACCUUAUGGCUUCCUGUGCGUUAGUUUUGGAACUUUUUUCUCCUCACUGUGGUUUUGCCGCACCCAUAUUUAAGCUUUGGAGUUUUCCGCCAACAGCACGGGGGUGGACCAGUGCGCAGGCGAAGAGGCGGGAGAACCACACAUCGCCAGUUAACUUUUAAGGUGUCAGUUCUAAGGAAUCCGACACUGACCCACUACCGAUCUCAUCGGGAUGCCACUCCUGCUACUCGGGUGGUCGUUCCUGUAAACCUAAAUGCCGCUGAAUUCAGGCAGGCACUACGGGACAAUAUUGCAGACAUACCUUUUCAGUUCGACCUAUGCAAAGUGAAUGGACAGUGGCUCAUUCUUCCUCUUGAAGAGGAGACGCCCCAAGGAAUUAGAGCAAGAAACCUAUUGGGUCGCUCCAAUCUUUAUAUCCGUCCAAAGAUUACAGAAGCCAAUGACAACUCAACUGGUGGAGAAGUGGUGCAGUCUGAAAUGGCAAUUGUGCUGCAUGACACAGAGACACCUGACCAUGGCAGGCACAAUGUACAGGAGCCAGAGGUUAUCAGUGGUCUGCAUGAAAACCAGACAGCUCAUUCUAGUAGGCAUGGUCUCCAGGAACCAGAGGUUAACAGGGAAGAGUUUUACAUCGACUCUGCCGAGUCAGAAGUAUCAGACCUGGAUGAGGCUGUCCUGGCUUCCCCUGAACAAAAUGAUUCACAUGACGAGAUGGACCUUGCUACUGUGUUAAAAGAUUUCCAGGAAACGCAUCUUGACACCAGCAAUUAUUGUACAGUGAUAGCCCGACGAAGGAAAAUCCUACAUAGUGCCUGCAUGGCACUUUCGAAGUCCUAUUUUUCCUGGCAUAAAUUGCCAAAUAUUGAAUUCGUUGGUGAAAUGGCCGAUGAUUAUGGAGGCCCAAGGCGGGAAUUUUUUCGCUUACUUAUGGUCGAAACUCAGAAUUCCCUAGGGAUUUUUGAGGGGAAGCCUGGCAGCCUGUUGUUCUGUUAUAGCCAGCAGUUGCUGUCAAGCAACAAGUGUUAUACGGCUGGUAAACUGAUUGCUUGGUCCAUAGCACACAAUGGGCCAGGGCCACGGUGUAUCAAUAGACACCUGUUCUGUUUGAUGUGUAGCCAGGGGUUAGGGUUUGGGUAAAGAAAGGGGUCCCAGAAGCAGCUGGGCCCCUGAUGCACUCUCACUCGAGUGGGUGGGCAUUAUUGCCCCCAAGUCAAAAAAUUACCCACGAAGGGUGGUAGUGGCCAUUUAUUUUGUCUAUUGAGCCCGUCGCGACGUUUCGGCGUUACUUCGCCUUCAUCAGGCUGGGCUCAAUGAGGGUAGGGACUGGUUUGUCCUCUAUUUAUACUCUUUCUGUUCUUAGUCUUUUCUGUUUCUUCUUUACUAAGGUUUUUUUCUGUUUCUUCUUACUUAGGUUUUUCUCUGUACUUUCUUUCUUAGUUUUUCUCCUUUUUUUCUCUAUUUUUUCUAUCUUCUAACCCUACUUUCUUCUCAACCCUACUUGGGGAGCUUUCUUCUGCUAUCGCUCAUCUCAACCCUACUUGGGGAGCUUUCUUUUCUUUCCUUUCUCUUUAUUCAUGGCACCCCCUAUUCCUUAGUCCACUCUUUCUUUCAUCUUGUUUUUCUGGCACCCCCAUCCUUAGUAACCACUCUAUUUAGGCUUUUUUUCUCUAUUUUUUAUGUUUUUCCAUUUUUUUAGGCUUUAUCCUUCUGUUUUUUAUAUUUUUCCAUUUUGUUAGGCUUUUUUU